UUUCGAGGUGGGAGUCUACUGAGGUGAGGUAUGGUGCUGGGUGCAGAUGCAAUGUGGCUCUGGAUAGCACCUUAUGGACAGUUGUGUCCCAAAGGAAGGAUGAGAAUAGCUACUGAAGUAAGUUGAAAAUCUUUAAAUCUCAAAAAGAUUUAAAGCCAUUGGAUGUGCCACAAUGAUGACAGUUUAUUUGCUACUCUUGAGUGCUAGAAUGAUGAGGAUCUUAACCACCAUUAUCUUAACUGAGGCACCCAAAAUGGUGAUUUGGGGAACAGAGAGAGUACACCUAAGUUCACACGAAGUUGUUUCUUCCCAGGUCCUAAAGAGCAAGCCUAACUCAAGCCAUUGGCACACCGGUGAGAAACCUCUAUAUUGUACUUCACACUUUUAAGGGAUUAGAAAAUAGCCAAAGCAGUGGUGAUUAUCUAUGUUAGUGUUUGUCUCCCCCCCUUUUCAAAUGAGAAUUUUGCUCUCAUAUUGAUACUAAGUUUAAUACUGAAGAAAAUGUGAAAACAGAUACUAUGAUGGUUGCAUAGUUCAGCAGAUUGAAUCAUGAAGAGAUGUACUAUCUGUCUGAUGUAUCUGGGGUGGUUGUGGUUUGCUGUUAAUGGUUAAGCAGUGUACCACCAAUCUACCAUUAAAAUAUUCUUUGCUGACAAUUUUGUAUUAAAAUUACAGGCAUUAGACAGAAAACUGGAAGUUGAAAUGGUAAGUGAAACUAUGUCCAAGUAAACAGCUAACUGGGCAAACUGCCUACAGCACAAAUGGCUUUUUAGGGUUACCUCCUACUAGUGCUGAAUGCAUUAAAUAAAUGGUGGAUUCUUGUCUUGUUAUGAUUAAUAAGAAAGUUUGUAAAUGCAGCCUGGAUGAUGAUAAGCAAAUACUGACUGAACAUGAAGGUCUUAAUUAGCUCUAACUGACUAAAGGCAUUUGUUAGUUUUGGCAGGGGGAGAACACUCACCUGUGGCUAUUCUAAGACCACUCUUAUUUCUUAGGUGGAGUCCAACUUGUCUGGACCAGCUUAAUGGUUCUGGUACGUAUUAAUGAAAACAGUAGAUAGACUUAAUGAAAA
RNAcentral lists this small RNA (1069 nucleotides) under Pongo abelii (Sumatran orangutan). RNAcentral describes it as "retained intron". The stretch from base 514 to 581 matches the Rfam family "Small nucleolar RNA SNORD77". Lineage: Eukaryota; Metazoa; Chordata; Mammalia; Primates; Hominidae. The record is from RNAcentral.